AAAUACGAGGUCAGGGGGUGUGUUUCCGGCUUUGACCUCAGAAAAAAGAUGUCUGAGGUAAAUAUAAC
Etheostoma cragini (Arkansas darter) is the source of this 68-nucleotide long non-coding RNA. RefSeq lists it as uncharacterized. The record is from RefSeq and is a predicted model, not a curated record. NCBI's taxonomy places the organism in Eukaryota, Metazoa, Chordata, Actinopteri, Perciformes, Percidae. The transcript has 3 exons.